RNAcentral lists this ribosomal RNA (465 nucleotides) under uncultured bacterium. RNAcentral describes it as "bacterial SSU rRNA". It matches the Rfam family "Bacterial small subunit ribosomal RNA", at positions 338 to 795 of the family's 1533-position model. The record is from RNAcentral.
CCUACGGGGUGCAGCAGUGGGGAAUAUUGCACAAUGGGCGCAAGCCUGAUGCAGCCAUGCCGCGUGUAUGAAGAAGGCCUUCGGGUUGUAAAGUACUUUCAGCGGGGAGGAAGGUGUUGUGGUUAAUAACCGCAACAAUUGACGUUACCCACAGAAGAAGCACCGGCUAACUCCGUGCCAGCAGCCGCGGUAAUACGGAGGGUGCAAGCGUUAAUCGGAAUUACUGGGCGUAAAGCGCACGCAGGCGGUCUGUCAAGUCGGAUGUGAAAUCCCCGGGCUCGACCAGGGAACUGCAUUCGAAACUGGCAGGCUAGAGUCUUGUAGAGGGGGGUAGUAUUCCAGGUGUAGCGGUGAAAUGCGUAGAGAUCUGGAGGAAUACCGGUGGCGAAGGCGGCCCCCUGGACAAAGACUGACGCUCAGGUGCGAAAGCGUGGGGAGCAAACAGGAUUAGAUACCCUUGUAGUC